CCUGCUUUGAAAUUGAGGCAAUCGUUUUCAGCCGGAUGGUUGCCCCCUGUGCGAGUGGAAGAUGUGACUUUGAAGACAGUCAUUGUAAAAGGUGCAAAAGGCUUGUCUAAGAUACGCUGGCAGUCUACACCGCAUGGCCUGCGUUGCUGACAUUGAGUGAAGUAAGUAUGGUGGUACAUUAU
Molecule: long non-coding RNA, 182 nt
Organism: Engraulis encrasicolus (European anchovy)
Lineage: Eukaryota; Metazoa; Chordata; Actinopteri; Clupeiformes; Engraulidae
Exons: 3
Source: RefSeq, a predicted model, not a curated record